This is a non-coding RNA of Chiloscyllium plagiosum (whitespotted bambooshark), 93 nucleotides long. Lineage: Eukaryota; Metazoa; Chordata; Chondrichthyes; Orectolobiformes; Hemiscylliidae. The record is from RefSeq and is a predicted model, not a curated record.
CCAAUCCACAUUUCCCAGCUCCUGCCGAAUUUUGAUAUAAUUGGCCUUGGACCAGUUUAGUACUUUUCCCUUAGGACCACUCGUUGUCUUUGU